UUUUGUACUUUUUCCACUGCUGGAAACACUUCUUUAAGUAAUUUUUCUGAACAUUUUGCAUGCUUUGCCAUCAUUUCAGCUCUGUACAACCAUGUGCAAUUCAUCCUUCCAAAUCAACGAUUCACUCUCUGUAUUCGACAAGUCUGUAAUAUGGGUGAUCGUUUGGUUGUCUUUUUCCUUGGUCUCGGCUGGACUGUCAGACCUCUUCUCCAGAUCUGCAUGUGCUUUGACCAUUACCUGGCAGUGAUUCAUCCAGUAGCAUUCCUGAGAUAUAAAGGCAUCCAAUACAGGACUGCAUCGGCAGCAGCAGCUUGGUUAAUAGGAGCGGCCAACAGCUCCUUUAUGCUCUUAAGCGUCCAGGACCAGGUGAACAAACAAAUGUAGAGAUGACAAGAAAAGACAGACACAACAAAACUGACAGAGGCAGAGUUGGCAACCAGCAGAAAAGGAAGGCCUUCAAAAUCAUCUCUCACAAUUUAGCAUCUAUCUUGAUUUGUUAUUUCCCUCAAGUAGUAACUUAUUUUAUGCGCAUAGCUAAAAUGAGUAAGCAUAUAUACAUUUGCAACGCAUUUCCAUUGAUUCUGUCAUUUAGUUUGACUGCUGUAUUAAUUUCUCCACUAGUCAGGAUGUAUAGUGAAGGCCAAAUAAAACAAAUGAUGUGCUUUUCAAAGCUUAGAGAACAAAUAAAAGGACAAUAAGAAAACUAAAAUAUGUAUUUAUUGAAGCUUGACAUUGAGAUAGAACAGUAUUUGAGAAUGCAAAUGUCUGCACAUACCUGCUGGCUGUUAGAAAAUGUAUACUGAUCAGUUUGCAAUUGCAAUUCAAGACCAAAAACAAAGCUUUCUCCUUAAUCAAUUAAUAAAGAAAAAACAUAGGAGUUUUUUUUUGGAGAACAAUGUCAGUAUAAUA
Sinocyclocheilus grahami is the source of this 909-nucleotide long non-coding RNA. RefSeq lists it as uncharacterized. The transcript is spliced from 4 exons. NCBI's taxonomy places the organism in Eukaryota, Metazoa, Chordata, Actinopteri, Cypriniformes, Cyprinidae. The record is from RefSeq and is a predicted model, not a curated record.